UACGUAGGUCCCGAGCGUUGUCCGGAUUUAUUGGGCGUAAAGCGAGCGCAGGUGGUUUAUUAAGUCUGGUGUAAAAGGCAGUGGCUCAACCAUUGUAUGCAUUGGAAACUGGUAGACUUGAGUGCAGGAGAGGAGAGUGGAAUUCCAUGUGUAGCGGUGGAAUGCGUAGAGAUAUGGAGGAACACCAGUGGCGAAGGCGGCUUCCUGGUCUGCAACUGACACUGAGGCGCGAAAGCGUGGGGAGCAAACAGG
This 252-nucleotide ribosomal RNA is filed under the name uncultured bacterium. Its description in RNAcentral is "partial 16S ribosomal RNA". It matches the Rfam family "Bacterial small subunit ribosomal RNA", at positions 524 to 776 of the family's 1533-position model. The record is from RNAcentral.